CCAUUUUUCAACACCCUCAACUUGCAUCCAUACAGCCAGCCUUGCUAGAAUCGCCAGUCUUGCUAGAAUUGAAUCAAUCUAUUUAAAUUUUCAAGUUGUUAAGAUCAAAGUUUACUUUCUACUUUCAUGUUGCUACUUGAUCUGAUACAUACUUUUUGCCCUACUUCACAAAGCUUUUAUCUCUGAUGCCAGGAACCAUCCUAGUUUCAGGUUCUAAAGCACUUUAUCUUCUUCACCAUAAUUCAAAACCGGCAGUUAUUUUGAUGCUUGUUUUGUUUCAAUCCAGUUCUGGAAUUCAUGGCUUUUCAAUCAUCAUCCUCCAUCUCACAAAUGUCCUUAAAGAGUAUGCGAUGAGAUCCAAUUAUUUGUCCUGUUUUUGGGAAUUUCUGCUUUUCUUUCUGGAGAAGAGAAUUCUACUGAUGUUCAUAUUUCAUAAUGCAGUUUCCAUGGGCAAAAGAGAGUACCAAACUUGGGACAAGGGGGAUUUCUUUUUGUAACUUAUCCAUUUAUAUUAGUCUGGUUUCUACUCUUUCUUCUGUUUAACAAGUUCAGAAUUUUGCUUAUAUAUCCAAGUUGUGUGCAGUCCAUUAACAACUCUUCGCAACAAUUUGAUAGUUACACUUCAGGAUGCUCAAGGAAAAGAAAUAUCACAUAUUGGUUUUGCUCAAUUCUUUCCCAUUUUGCUUCCAUCUCUAAGUACUGAAGCUGUGAGGCUGAUGAGUGUUGAUCGUGUUUAAUGGCAGUUGUUGAAACCAGGUUGGUGAUUGAGAAAGGCGUUUGGGAUGACAUAUUUCCCUUUGAAGGAGGCGGGCAUGUGCAUAUGAAGUUGCAGUUUGUACUUAAUGAAGAAGACCGCCAGCGUAUCCGGAUCAUGAGAGAAUCAGCAUUGAGAAAGAAGCACGACGAACUUCUCAAUAGUGAACUUAGAAGUCCAACACAUGCUACUACUGUUGGUAGUAAUGUUGCACCAUCUUUAAUGUUCAAUCACGAUGUCUCAGGUUUGAUCUUGCUUUAAGUGAUUAUGAAAAGUUUUUAGCAGAAAGCAGGGGGAAAAAAAAAAAAGUCGUCCUGUUUUGCAUUUUCCUUACCUGCGGAUCUUUUUCUUGAUUUCUGGACUGUUCUAUUUUCUCAAGAUUCACACAGAACCCUUCUUCAACGUGAAGUGAUUGAAGCUGGUUUGAGUUCAAUUGUUUGCUCCAUUCUUUUCAAUAAAGGAAAAUCUGGUCCUAAGGAUGUAGAAGGAACUCAUUUCACUAAUGAUCCUAGCAGGAUCAUUUAUUCAGAAGAAGCUUCAUUUCUGGGGAGCUCAGGAUCGGUAGUUGCUGCAAAGAAUCAAGCCCCUGCAGAACUUAAGGCAGAUGAAGCUAAUGACCCAGAGAAGCGGAGCCCACUGGAGAAAACUCCCGGCAAGAUAAGAAAUAUGAUUAGUGCCUUUGAAAAUAGUCUAAAUCAGGAUAUGAGACCUAACAUAAGACCAGCACCAACAGGAUCCCAGUCAAGUAAGAGGAGAAUGGAUGUUUCUUCUAAAAGUAAACACUACACAGGAGACAUGCAACAAGCCCCAACAUAUAUCAGAAAAAGAGAAGAUCAAAUUGGUUUUGUUAGAGCUCUUGCAGGGUCUACAUCAUCUCGUGAGGCAGGUCAAUCGGAGGAGUUAAGAGCUGGACAUAUUCAUACUAAAGGAACAACAGUAGAAUUGAAGGAUAAAGUUGAAGUUAUGCAUAAAGUUGACACACACAAAGUGAAAAAAACUUCUGAAAAAUUAGAAAGAGCAUCAACAGGUGAAAGAGCUUCUAUCCCGUGGAGAAUGCUUAUUGAAAAAGGUACACGAACAUUGAGUAACUUGUUUGCUGCGAGAAGACAUUCUGGUGACAAUUCCCUCAAACAAAAUAAUGGAAGAGAAAUUCAGCCAAAAUGUAUACAAGAUGUAAACAUUCAAGGUAAUUCAGACGAUGAACCUCAUUCCUCAGAAUGCUAUGGUGCCUGGAUAUUUCCUGAUGGAGGAAAACGCUUGUGCAUCACAACUGGUGGAAAACAAAUAAUGGAUCUAACGGAAAGUUGCCAUGCCGAAGCAAAUAGCGAACUGGGAAAGAUGAGCUAUCCCACAGGAGAAAAUGAGAAAGAGAUUGGUGUGCUUGGUGGCACUGAUAUUCUGGCGAAUGGAGGUGACAAGACUUCUCUAAGUCAAAGACUCAGAGAAUCAGUAACUGAGAGCUCAACAGAUGCUGAAACUUCUAGAGGGCCGGUUGGAGAGGUGAUGAGAGUGUUGAUCAUGGUUGGAUUUGCAACACUAAUUUUCUUCACUAGACAAAGGAAAC
This 2318-nucleotide unclassified non-coding RNA is filed under the name Hevea brasiliensis (rubber tree). The record is from RNAcentral. Lineage: Eukaryota; Viridiplantae; Streptophyta; Magnoliopsida; Malpighiales; Euphorbiaceae.